RNAcentral lists this ribosomal RNA (434 nucleotides) under uncultured bacterium. Its description in RNAcentral is "partial 16S ribosomal RNA". It matches the Rfam family "Bacterial small subunit ribosomal RNA", at positions 29 to 507 of the family's 1533-position model. The record is from RNAcentral.
AGCGAACGCUGGCGGCAGGCCUAACACAUGCAAGUCGAACGAACCUUUCGGGGUUAGUGGCGGCCGGGUGAGUAACACGUGGGAACGUGCCUUUAGGUUCGGCAUAACUCAGGGAAACUUGUGCUAAUACCGAAUGUGCCCUUCGGGGGAAAGAUUUAUCGCCUCUAGAGCGGCCCGCGUCUGAUUAGCUAGUUGGUUGAGGUAAUGGCUCACCAAGGCGACGAUCAGUAGCUGGUCUGAGAGGAUGAUCAGCCACAUUGGGGCUGAGACACGGCCCAAACUCCUACGGGAGGCAGCAGUGGGGAAUCUUGCGCAAUGGGCGAAAGCCUGACGCAGCCAUGCCGGGUGAAUGAUGAAGGUCUUAGGAUUGUAAAAUUCUUUCAACGGGGACGAUAAUGACGGUACCCGGAGAAGAAGCCCCGGCUAACUUCGUG